This 253-nucleotide ribosomal RNA is filed under the name uncultured bacterium. Its description in RNAcentral is "partial 16S ribosomal RNA". It matches the Rfam family "Bacterial small subunit ribosomal RNA", at positions 524 to 776 of the family's 1533-position model. The record is from RNAcentral.
UACGGAGGGGGCUAGCGUUAUUCGGAAUUACUGGGCGUAAAGCGCACGUAGGCGGAUCAGAAAGUCAGAGGUGAAAUCCCAGGGCUCAACCUUGGAACUGCCUUUGAAACUCCUGGUCUUGAGGUCGAGAGAGGUGAGUGGAAUUCCGAGUGUAGAGGUGAAAUUCGUAGAUAUUCGGAGGAACACCAGUGGUGAAGGCGGCUAACUGGACCAUUCUUGACGCUGAGGGACGAAAGCGUGGGGAGCAAACAGG